RNAcentral lists this non-coding RNA (28 nucleotides) under Rattus norvegicus (Norway rat). Lineage: Eukaryota; Metazoa; Chordata; Mammalia; Rodentia; Muridae. The record is from RNAcentral.
UAAUGGUAAUAGGAUGGUGUAGUGUACA